GACGAACGCUGGCGGCGUGCUUAACACAUGCAAGUCGUACGGUAAGGCCCUUUCGGGGGUCCACGAGUGGCGAACGGGUGAGUAACACGUGAGUAACCUGCCCACAACUUUGGGAUAACGCUAGGAAACUGGUGCUAAUACUGGAUAUGUGCUCCUGCUGCAUGGUGGGGGUUGGAAAGCUCCGGCGGUUGUGGAUGGACUCGCGGCCUAUCAGCUUGUUGGUGGGGUAGUGGCCUACCAAGGCGGCGACGGGUAGCCGGCCUGAGAGGGUGACCGGCCACAUUGGGACUGAGAUACGGCCCAGACGCCUACGGGAGGCAGCAGUGGGGAAUAUUGCACAAUGGGCGCAGGCCUGAUGCAGCAACGCCGCGGGCGGGAGGACGGCCUUCGGGUUGUAAACCGCUUUCAGCAGGGACGAAGCUUUUUGUGACGGUACCUGCAGAAGAAGCACCGGCUAACUACGUG
Molecule: ribosomal RNA, 465 nt
Filed under: uncultured bacterium
Lineage: Bacteria
Description: partial 16S ribosomal RNA
Rfam family: Bacterial small subunit ribosomal RNA
Source: RNAcentral